UCGGUAUGAAGUUUUCGGAUGGAUUACAGAUUGACUGAGCGGCGGACGGGUGAGUAACGCGUGGGUAACCUGCCUUACACAGGGGGAUAACAGUUAGAAAUGACUGCUAAUACCGCAUAACCCUUUAGCACCGCAUGGUGCAGAAGGAAAAGAUUUAUCGGUGUAAGAUGGACCCGCGUCUGAUUAGCUAGUUGGCAGGGUAACGGCCUACCAAGGCGACGAUCAGUAGCCGACCUGAGAGGGUGAUCGGCCACAUUGGGACUGAGACACGGCCCAAACUCCUACGGGAGGCAGCAGUGGGGAAUAUUGCACAAUGGGGGAAACCCUGAUGCAGCAACGCCGCGUGAGUGAAGAAGUAUUUCGGUAUGUAAAGCUCUAUCAGCAGGGAAGAAAAUGACAGUACCUGACUAAGAAGCCCCGGCUAACUACGUGCCAGCAGCCGCGGUAAUACGUAGGGGGCAAGCGUUAUCCGGAUUUACUGGGUGUAAAGGGAGCGUAGACGGCAAGACAAGUCUGAAGUGAAAGCCCGGGGCUCAACCGCGGGACUGCUUUGGAAACUGCCAUGCUGGAGUGCAGGAGAGGUAAGUGGAAUUCCUAGUGUAGCGGUGAAAUGCGUAGAUAUUAGGAGGAACACCGGUGGCGAAGGCGGCUUACUGGACUGUAACUGACGUUGAUGCUCGAAAGCG
Molecule: ribosomal RNA, 686 nt
Filed under: uncultured bacterium
Lineage: Bacteria
Description: bacterial SSU rRNA
Rfam family: Bacterial small subunit ribosomal RNA
Source: RNAcentral